This is a long non-coding RNA of Alexandromys fortis (reed vole), 742 nucleotides long. RefSeq lists it as uncharacterized. The transcript has 5 exons. The record is from RefSeq and is a predicted model, not a curated record. Lineage: Eukaryota; Metazoa; Chordata; Mammalia; Rodentia; Cricetidae.
UGAAAGGGUUGGUGAAUCCCUUGGGGUAGAGAGGAUUUGCAACCCACCAGGGAGCUCUAUUGGAAUGCUCAUUCCUGUUGUCUCUGGAAGGAAAAGGAAAGAAAAGGGAAAGGAAAGGGAGUCCGCGGGGCAACGAAGAGAUCAAAAGGCCGGGAAUUGAUUCCUGCAACUGUCUCCUACCAGAGGGAAGAUGAUGGAUGGCACUGUAAGAAGACCUCAAGGUUUCAUUUGUGGCUUUUAUGGUAGCAGGAUUGGGGGUUGUUUUCCUUCUCUGCAGCACUUACGUCAAUCAGUCUGAGAGCUGUUCUGUUAGUCUUCUCAUGAGGCAGUCUUAAACAGAGAAAAAGGCUAUACACUGAUAUUAUCAGACCUUGAACAGAGAAAGCAAGAAAAUUAUGGUCCUGGAAGAGCAUAGAAGCCUUGAGGUGGCUCUUGGUUGAUGACAAAGUGAUAGACCCUUAGACUGAUCUUUAGCUAUACAGGGUGUUUCCAGAGAGGAUUAACUGAGAUGACAAGACCUGCUUUGAAUGUGAAUGGCACAAUCCUAAGAGCUGGGGUCACAGACUGAAUAAAACGAUCGACCAAAAAGAGAAUGUCAUCUGAGCAUCAGCAUUCUUUUCUUCCUGCCUUCUUAACCAUUCACAGAAGGCACAAGCUUUCCCUGCUCUGGUUGUCUGCCCAGCUACCUUCAUCUCCUAUGAAGUUCUAGGCAGAGUCAGAUAGUACCUCAUCUAGAAAGUUG